CAGUAGCCGCGGUAAUACAGAGGGUGCGAGCGUUAAUCGGAUUUACUGGGCGUAAAGCGUGCGUAGGCGGCUAAUUGAGUCGGAUGUGAAAUCCCCGAGCUUAACUUGGGAAUUGCAUUCGAUACUGGUUAGCUAGAGUGUGGGAGAGGAUGGUAGAAUUCCAGGUGUAGCGGUGAAAUGCGUAGAGAUCUGGAGGAAUACCGAUGGCGAAGGCAGCCAUCUGGCCUAACACUGACGCUGAGGUACGAAAGCAUGGGGAGCAAACAGGAUUAGAUACACCCGUAGUCCCUGUCUCUUAUAC
RNAcentral lists this ribosomal RNA (301 nucleotides) under uncultured bacterium. Its description in RNAcentral is "partial 16S ribosomal RNA". It matches the Rfam family "Bacterial small subunit ribosomal RNA", at positions 509 to 807 of the family's 1533-position model. The record is from RNAcentral.